This 84-nucleotide transfer RNA is filed under the name Candidatus Treponema faecavium. Its description in RNAcentral is "tRNA-Leu". It matches the Rfam family "tRNA". From Rfam's summary of the family: Transfer RNA (tRNA) molecules are approximately 80 nucleotides in length. Their secondary structure includes four short double-helical elements and three loops (D, anti-codon, and T loops). The record is from RNAcentral. Lineage: Bacteria; Pseudomonadati; Spirochaetota; Spirochaetia; Treponematales; Treponemataceae.
GCCCGGAUGGUGGAAUUGGUAGACACGCUAGUUUCAGGUACUAGAGCUCAAUCGGGUGUGCAAGUUCAAGUCUUGUUCCGGGCA